RNAcentral lists this ribosomal RNA (202 nucleotides) under uncultured bacterium. RNAcentral's name for it is "partial 16S ribosomal RNA". It matches the Rfam family "Bacterial small subunit ribosomal RNA", at positions 1301 to 1500 of the family's 1533-position model. The record is from RNAcentral.
UAGGCUGCAACUCGCCUACACGAAGCUGGAAUCGCUAGUAAUCGCGGAUCAGCACGCCGCGGUGAAUACGUUCCCGGGCCUUGUACACACCGCCCGUCACACCAUGAGAGUCUGUAACGCCCAAAGCCGGUGGGAUAACCUUUAUAGGAGUCAGCCGUCUAAGGUAGGACAGAUGAUUAGGGUGAAGUCGUAACAAGGUAAC